RNAcentral lists this ribosomal RNA (120 nucleotides) under Carassius auratus (goldfish). The record is from RNAcentral. Lineage: Eukaryota; Metazoa; Chordata; Actinopteri; Cypriniformes; Cyprinidae.
GCUUAUGGCCAUACCAGCCUGGCUAUGCCCGAUCUUGUCUGAUCUCUGGAAGCUAAGCAGGUUUGGGCCUGGUUAGUACAUGGAUGGGAGACUGCCUGGGAAUACCAGGUGCUUUAAAUU